UACGUAGGGUCCGAGCGUUGUCCGGAAUUAUUGGGCGUAAAGAGCGUGUAGGCGGUCCGGUAAGUCAGCUGUGAAAGUCAAAGGCUCAACCUUUGAACGCCGAUGGAUACUGCCGGGCUAGAGUCCGGAAGAGGCGAGUGGAAUUCCUGGUGUAGCGGUGGAAUGCGCAGAUAUCAGGAGGAACACCAAUAGCGAAGGCAGCUCGCUGGGACGGUACUGACGCUGAGGCGCGAAAGCGUGGGGAGCGAACAGG
Molecule: ribosomal RNA, 253 nt
Filed under: uncultured bacterium
Lineage: Bacteria
Description: partial 16S ribosomal RNA
Rfam family: Bacterial small subunit ribosomal RNA
Source: RNAcentral